This 2916-nucleotide ribosomal RNA is filed under the name Kangiella sp. HD9-110m-PIT-SAG06. RNAcentral describes it as "bacterial LSU rRNA". It matches the Rfam family "Bacterial large subunit ribosomal RNA". Lineage: Bacteria; Pseudomonadati; Pseudomonadota; Gammaproteobacteria; Kangiellales; Kangiellaceae. The record is from RNAcentral. RNAcentral also lists the same sequence under 1 other name.
GUUAUAUAGUCAAGUGAAUAAGAGCAUGCGGUGGAUGCCUUGGCGACAGAAGGCGAUGAAGGACGUAGUAGUCUGCGAUAAGCCUCGGGGAGUUGACAACAAACGUUAUAUCCGAGGAUUUCCGAAUGGGGAAACCCAGCCAGUAUAAGCUGGUUAUCUUGCACUGAAUACAUAGGUGUAAGAGGCGAACGCGGGGAACUGAAACAUCUAAGUACCCGUAGGAACAGAAAUCAAACGAGAUUCCGAGAGUAGCGGCGAGCGAAAUCGGAUUAGCCCUUAAGCUUCUUUUGAGUUAGUGGAAGUCUCUGGAAAGUGACGCGAUACAGGGUGAUAGCCCCGUACACGAAAACGAAUUAGAAGUGAAAUCGAGUAGGUCGGGACACGUGUUAUCUUGACUGAACAUGGGGGGACCAUCCUCCAAGGCUAAAUACUCUCUGUCGACCGAUAGUGAACCAGUACCGUGAGGGAAAGGCGAAAAGAACCCCAGUGAGGGGAGUGAAAUAGACCCUGAAACCGCAUGCUUACAAGCAGUGGAAGCACGAUUUAGUCGUGUGACUGCGUACCUUUUGUAUAAUGGGUCAGCGACUUACUCUUCAGUAGCAAGGUUAACCAUUUAGGGGAGCCGUAGGGAAACCGAGUCUUAAUAGGGCGUCACAGUUGCUGGAGGUAGACCCGAAACCCGGUGAUCUAUCCAUGGUCAGGUUGAAGGUUGGGUAACACCAACUGGAGGACCGAACCCACUUAUGUUGCAAAAUGAGGGGAUGAACUGUGGAUCGGAGUGAAAGGCUAAUCAAACCGGGAGAUAGCUGGUUCUCCUCGAAAUCUAUUUAGGUAGAGCCUCGCGUAUUACCCUAGGGGGUAGAGCACUGUUAAGGCUAGGGGGUCAUCCCGACUUACCAACCCUUUGCAAACUCCGAAUACCUAGGAGUACAGCGCGGGAGACACACUGCGGGUGCUAACGUCCGUAGUGGAAAGGGAAACAACCCAGACCGCCAGCUAAGGUCCCAAAGUCAUAGCUAAGUGGGAAACGAUGUGGAAAGGCUUAGACAGCUAGGAGGUUGGCUUAGAAGCAGCCACCCUUUAAAGAAAGCGUAAUAGCUCACUAGUCGAGUCGGUUUGCGCGGAAGAUGUAACGGGGCUAAGCUAUGCACCGAAGCUGCGGGAUACACUAUGUGUAUCGGUAGAGGAGCGUUCUGUAAGCCGCUGAAGGUGGAUUGAGAAGUCUGCUGGAGGUAUCAGAAGUGCGAAUGCUGACAUGAGUAACGUUAAUGCGGGUGAAAAACCCGCACGCCGGAAGACCAAGGGUUCCUGUUCGACGUUAAUCGGAGCAGGGUGAGUCGGCCCCUAAGGCGAGGCAGAGAUGCGUAGUCGAUGGGAAACAGGUUAAUAUUCCUGUACCGGUGUUUAUUGUGAUGGAGAGACGGAGAAGGCUAGGCCAGCGCGGCGACGGUUGUCCGCGUUUAAGGUGGUAGGCUUGGAACUUAGGUAAAUCCGGGUUCCUUUAAGGCCGAGAGCUGAUGACGAUCGCCCAAGGGCGAGAAGUGGUUGAUGCCAGGCUUCCAGGAAAAUCUUCUAAACUUCAGAUAAACACCGACCGUACCCCAAACCAACACUGGUGGUCAGGUAGAGAAUACUAAGGCGCUUGAGAGAACUCGGGUGAAGGAACUAGGCAAAAUAGCACCGUAACUUCGGGAGAAGGUGCGCCGGCUUUGGUGAUGGGACUUGCUCCCUGAGCUGAGGCUGGUCGAAGAUACCAGGUGGCUGCGACUGUUUAUCAAAAACACAGCACUCUGCAAACACGAAAGUGGACGUAUAGGGUGUGACGCCUGCCCGGUGCCGGAAGGUUAAUUGAUGGGGUUAUCUUCGGAGAAGCUCUUGAUCGAAGCCCCGGUAAACGGCGGCCGUAACUAUAACGGUCCUAAGGUAGCGAAAUUCCUUGUCGGGUAAGUUCCGACCUGCACGAAUGGCGUAACGACGGCCACACUGUCUCCACCCGAGACUCAGUGAAAUUGAACUCGCUGUGAAGAUGCAGUGUUCCCGCGGCUAGACGGAAAGACCCCGUGAACCUUUACUACAGCUUCACACUGGACUUAGAACCUGCUUGUGUAGGAUAGCUGGGAGACUUUGAAGCAUUGUCGCUAGAUGAUGUGGAGUCGUCCUUGAAAUACCAGCCUGGUAGCUUUUGAGUUCUAACUCAGGUCCGUUAUCCGGAUCGAGGACAGUGUGUGGUGGGUAGUUUGACUGGGGCGGUCUCCUCCCAAAGAGUAACGGAGGAGCACGAAGGUUGGCUAAUCAUGGUCGGAAAUCAUGAGGUUAGUGUAAUGGCACAAGCCAGCUUAACUGCGAGACAGACACGUCGAGCAGGUACGAAAGUAGGUCAUAGUGAUCCGGUGGUUCUGAAUGGAAGGGCCAUCGCUCAACGGAUAAAAGGUACUCCGGGGAUAACAGGCUGAUACUACCCAAGAGUUCAUAUCGACGGUAGUGUUUGGCACCUCGAUGUCGGCUCAUCUCAUCCUGGGGCUGUAGCCGGUCCCAAGGGUAUGGCUGUUCGCCAUUUAAAGAGGUACGCGAGCUGGGUUCAGAACGUCGUGAGACAGUUCGGUCCCUAUCUGCCGUGGGCGUUUGAGAUUUGAGGAGAGCUGCUCCUAGUACGAGAGGACCGGAGUGGACGAACCUCUGGUGUUCCGGUUGUCACGCCAGUGGCAUUGCCGGGUAGCUAUGUUCGGACAGGAUAACCGCUGAAAGCAUCUAAGCGGGAAGCCCCCUCCAAGAUGAGAUCUCACUGAAACUUUAAGUUUCCUGAAGAGCCGUUGUAGACUACGACGUUGAUAGGCAAGGUGUGGAAGCGUUGAGAGGCGUUAAGCUAACUUGUACUAAUUGCUCGUGAGGCUUGACUAUAUAACCCCAAGAGUUUUG